UUCUUAUAUAUAUGUUUAUAUAUAUACAAGAUAACGACACACUAAAUAGAAUAAAGAGGGAAAAAACAAACCCUACAUAACACGUAACUAUUAAAAAACACAGAAAAAUGGAUAACAUAAAUAGAUAAAUCAACCUAGAAAUAACUUAACCAGUUCUAGUUGUAUUUUACGAGUUAUUCAUUGAAAUCGUAGACAAAUUGGUUGAAAAUGUUUUAAAUAUGACGUAUGGGUUAUUCAUAUUUGAUUCUUAUAUAUAUGUUUAUAUAUAUACAAGAUAAUGACACACUAAAUGGAAUAAAGAGGGAAAAAACAAACCCUACAUAACACAUAACUAUUAAAAAACACAGAAAAAUAGAUAACAUAAAUAGAAAAAUCAACCUAGUAAUAACUUAAACAGUUCUUGUUGUAUUUACGAGUUAUUCAUUGAAAUCGUAGACAAAUUAUUUAAAAAUGUUUUAAAUAUGACGUAUGGGUUAUUCAUAUUUGAUUCUUAUAUAUAUAUUUAUAUAUAUACAAGAUAACGACACACUAAAUAGAAUAAAGAGGGAAAAAACAAACCCUACAUAACAAGUAACUAUUAAAAAACAUAGAAAAAUAGAUAACAUAAAUAGAAAAAUCAACCUAGAAAUAACUUAACCAGUUCUAGUUGUAUUUUACGAGUUAUUCAUUGAAAUCGUAGACAAAUUGUUUGAAAAUGUUUUAAAUAUGACGUAUGGGUUAUUCAUAUUUGAUUCUUAUAUAUAUGUUUAUAUAUAUACAAGAUAACGACACACUAAAUAGAAUAAAGAGGGAAAAAACAAACCCUACAUAACACGUAACUAUUAAAAAACAUAGAAAAAUAGAUAACAUAAAUAGAAAAAUCAACCUAGAAAUAACUUAACCAGUUCUAGUUGUAUUUUACGAGUUAUUCAUUGAAAUCGUAGACAAAUUGUUUGAAAAUGUUUUAAAUAUGACGUAUGGGUUAUUCAUAUUUGAUUCUUAUAUAUAUGUUUAUAUAUAUACAAGAUAACGACACACUAAAUAGAAUAAAGAGGGAAAAAACAAACCCUACAUAACACGUAACUAUUAAAAAACAUAGAAAAAUAGAUAACAUAAAUAGAAAAAUCAACCUAGAAAUAACUUAACCAGUUCUAGUUGUAUUUUACGAGUUAUUCAUUGAAAUCGUAGACAAAUUGUUUGAAAAUGUUUUAAAUAUGACGUAUGGGUUAUUCAUAUUUGAUUCUUAUAUAUAUGUUUAUAUAUAUACAAGAUAACGACACACUAAAUAGAAUAAAGAGGGAAAAAACAAACCCUACAUAACACGUAACUAUUAAAAAACAUAGAAAAAUAGAUAACAUAAAUAGAAAAAUCAACCUAGAAAUAACUUAACCAGUUCUAGUUGUAUUUUACGAGUUAUUCAUUGAAAUCGUAGACAAAUUGUUUGAAAAUGUUUUAAAUAUGACGUAUGGGUUAUUCAUAUUUGAUUCUUAUAUAUAUGUUUAUAUAUAUACAAGAUAACGACACACUAAAUAGAAUAAAGAGGGAAAAAACAAACCCUACAUAACACGUAACUAUUAAAAAACAUAGAAAAAUAGAUAACAUAAAUAGAAAAAUCAACCUAGAAAUAACUUAACCAGUUCUAGUUGUAUUUUACGAGUUAUUCAUUGAAAUCGUAGACAAAUUGUUUGAAAAUGUUUUAAAUAUGACGUAUGGGUUAUUCAUAUUUGAUUCUUAUAUAUAUGUUUAUAUAUAUACAAGAUAACGACACACUAAAUAGAAUAAAGAGGGAAAAAACAAACCCUACAUAACACGUAACUAUUAAAAAACAUAGAAAAAUAGAUAACAUAAAUAGAAAAAUCAACCUAGAAAUAACUUAACCAGUUCUAGUUGUAUUUUACGAGUUAUUCAUUGAAAUCGUAGACAAAUUGUUUGAAAAUGUUUUAAAUAUGACGUAUGGGUUAUUCAUAUUUGAUUCUUAUAUAUAUGUUUAUAUAUAUACAAGAUAACGACACACUAAAUAGAAUAAAGAGGGAAAAAACAAACCCUACAUAACACGUAACUAUUAAAAAACAUAGAAAAAUAGAUAACAUAAAUAGAAAAAUCAACCUAGAAAUAACUUAACCAGUUCUAGUUGUAUUUUACGAGUUAUUCAUUGAAAUCGUAGACAAAUUGUUUGAAAAUGUUUUAAAUAUGACGUAUGGGUUAUUCAUAUUUGAUUCUUAUAUAUAUGUUUAUAUAUAUACAAGAUAACGACACACUAAAUAGAAUAAAGAGGGAAAAAACAAACCCUACAUAACACGUAACUAUUAAAAAACAUAGAAAAAUAGAUAACAUAAAUAGAAAAAUCAACCUAGAAAUAACUUAACCAGUUCUAGUUGUAUUUUACGAGUUAUUCAUUGAAAUCGUAGACAAAUUGUUUGAAAAUGUUUUAAAUAUGACGUAUGGGUUAUUCAUAUUUGAUUCUUAUAUAUAUGUUUAUAUAUAUACAAGAUAACGACACACUAAAUAGAAUAAAGAGGGAAAAAACAAACCCUACAUAACACGUAACUAUUAAAAAACAUAGAAAAAUAGAUAACAUAAAUAGAAAAAUCAACCUAGAAAUAACUUAAGCAGUUCUAGUUGUAUUUUACGAGUUAUUCAUUGAAAUCGUAGACAAAUUGUUUAAAAAUGUUUUAAAUAUGACGUAUGGGUUAUUCAUAUUUGAUUCUUAUAUAUAUUUUUAUAUAUAUACAAGAUAACGACACACUAAAUAGAAUAAAUAGGGAAAAAACAAACCCUACAUAACACAUAACUAUUAAAAAACACAGAAAAAGAGAUACCAUAAAUAGAAAAAUCAUCCUAAAAAUAACUUAACUAGAUCUAAUUGUAUUUUACGAGUUAUUCAUUGAAAUCGUAGACAAAUUGUUUUAAAAUGUUUUAAAUAUGAUCUAUGGGUUAUUCAUAUUUGAUUCUUAUAUAUACGUUUAUAUAUAUAUAUAUACAAGAUAACGACACACUAAAUAGAUUAAAGAGGGAAAAAACAAACCCUACAUAACACGUAACUAUUAAAAAACAUAGAAAAAUGGAUAACAUAAAUAGAUAAAUCAACCUAGAAAUAACUUAACCAGUUCUAGUUGUAUUUUACGAGUUAUUCAUUGAAAUCGUAGACAAAUUGUUUAAAAAUGUUUUAAAUAUGACGUAUG
Molecule: long non-coding RNA, 3161 nt
Filed under: Lathyrus oleraceus (garden pea)
Lineage: Eukaryota; Viridiplantae; Streptophyta; Magnoliopsida; Fabales; Fabaceae
Description: Pisum sativum (pea) long non-coding RNA (PSAT_LNC040879)
Source: RNAcentral